GUCUAUGGCCAUACCAACCUGAACUCACCCAAAUCAUCUGAUCUCGGAAGCUAAGCAGGGUUGGACCUGGUUAGUACUUGGAUGGGAGACUUCCAGGGAAUACCAGGUGCUGUAGGUU
RNAcentral lists this ribosomal RNA (118 nucleotides) under Erinaceus europaeus (western European hedgehog). The record is from RNAcentral. Lineage: Eukaryota; Metazoa; Chordata; Mammalia; Eulipotyphla; Erinaceidae.